This 469-nucleotide ribosomal RNA is filed under the name uncultured bacterium. RNAcentral describes it as "bacterial SSU rRNA". It matches the Rfam family "Bacterial small subunit ribosomal RNA", at positions 28 to 490 of the family's 1533-position model. The record is from RNAcentral.
GAUGAACGCUAGCGGCAGGCUUAAUACAUGCAAGUCGAGGGGCAGCAUGAGUGUAGCAAUACAUUUGAUGGCGACCGGCAAACGGGUGCGGAACACGUACACAACCUUCCUAUAAGUGGGGAAUAGCCCAGAGAAAUUUGGAUUAAUACCCCGUAACAUAAUGAUGUGGCAUCACAUUAUUAUUAUAGCUUCGGCGCUUAUUGAUGGGUGUGCGGCUGAUUAGAUAGUUGGCGGGGUAACGGCCCACCAAGUCUACGAUCAGUAGCUGAUGUGAGAGCAUGAUCAGCCACACGGGCACUGAGACACGGGCCCGACUCCUACGGGAGGCAGCAGUAAGGAAUAUUGGUCAAUGGACGCAAGUCUGAACCAGCCAUGCCGCGUGAAGGAUUAAGGUCCUCUGGAUUGUAAACUUCUUUAUCUGGGACGAAAAAGGCGAUUCUUCGUCACUUGACGGUACCAGAUGAAUAAG